GCGCGAAACCUCCGCAAUGCGAGCAAUCGCGACGGGGGGACCCCAAGUGCCACUCUUAACGGGGUGGCUUUUCUUAAGUGUAAAAAGCUUUUGGAAUAAGGGCUGGGCAAGACCGGUGCCAGCCGCCGCGGUAACACCGGCAGCUCUAGUGGUAGCCAUUUUUAUUGGGCCUAAAGCGUUCGUAGCCGGUUUGAUAAGUCUCUGGUGAAAUCCUAUAGCUUAACUGUGGGACUUGCUGGAGAUACUAUUAGACUUGAGGUCGGGAGAGGUUAGCGGUACUCCCAGGGUAGGGGUGAAAUCCUGUAAUCCUGGGAGGACCACCUGUGGCGAAGGCGGCUAACUGGAACGAACCUGACGGUGAGGGACGAAAGCCAGGGGCGCGAACCGG
This 388-nucleotide ribosomal RNA is filed under the name uncultured Methanobacteriaceae archaeon. RNAcentral's name for it is "bacterial SSU rRNA". It matches the Rfam family "Archaeal small subunit ribosomal RNA", at positions 339 to 727 of the family's 1478-position model. Lineage: Archaea; Methanobacteriati; Methanobacteriota; Methanobacteria; Methanobacteriales; Methanobacteriaceae. The record is from RNAcentral.